This 489-nucleotide ribosomal RNA is filed under the name uncultured bacterium. RNAcentral's name for it is "bacterial SSU rRNA". It matches the Rfam family "Bacterial small subunit ribosomal RNA", at positions 31 to 507 of the family's 1533-position model. The record is from RNAcentral.
GAACGCUGGCGGCAGGCCUAACACAUGCAAGUCGAGCGGCAGCGGGAAAGUAGCUUGCUACUUUUGCCGGCGAGCGGCGGACGGGUGAGUAAUGCCUGGGGAUCUGCCCAGUCGAGGGGGAUAACAGUUGGAAACGACUGCUAAUACCGCAUACGCCCUACGGGGGAAAGCAGGGGACCUUCGGGCCUUGCGCGAUUGGAUGAACCCAGGUGGGAUUAGCUAGUUGGUGAGGUAAUGGCUCACCAAGGCGACGAUCCCUAGCUGGUCUGAGAGGAUGAUCAGCCACACUGGAACUGAGACACGGUCCAGACUCCUACGGGAGGCAGCAGUGGGGAAUAUUGCACAAUGGGGGAAACCCUGAUGCAGCCAUGCCGCGUGUGUGAAGAAGGCCUUCGGGUUGUAAAGCACUUUCAGCGAGGAGGAAAGGUUGGUAGCGAAUAACUGCCAGCUGUGACGUUACUCGCAGAAGAAGCACCGGCUAACUCCGUG